UCAGGAGGAGGAGGAGGAUCAGGAGGAAGAGAAAGGGGAGAACAGAUCCCCCACUGAGUGCUGGGCGUCCUGGUCAGCUCAAAGGGAGGGGCUUCCUCAGCGGGUGGCCAUACAACCCUUCCUUUGCUGGCCCCUCACCACCGACAUGAUGGAUGUAGAGCCUUGAGGAAGGCCAAGCAGCUCAGCUCUGCCGUUUCUCCCCCUCCUCGAGACUACACUCAGGAAUCAAAGGCCAUGCGGUCAUCAUGCAAAAACCAUGCCGUCACCCUGGAAAGACCAUGUUGUCAUCCUGCAAAGGCCUUGUUGUCAUCCUGCAAAGGCCAUACCAUCACCCUGCAGAGGCCACUGGAUGUCCUGAGGACAAAGGUUUGGGGGAAAUUCCCCACAGCUGCUGUCUAAGGACUAUCACUUCCCAGUGGGUUCCCAUCUGUGCCUCUCCAGGUUCUGGCAAGAAGCUUUAGAAACACCUUUCCUGUGGACAGGCUCCACAGGAUUCUUUCUGAAGGAUGACUUUCCUGACCGAGUGAAACAAAUCUGACAUAAAACAUUCCUGA
This is a long non-coding RNA of Sarcophilus harrisii (Tasmanian devil), 554 nucleotides long. RefSeq lists it as uncharacterized. The record is from RefSeq and is a predicted model, not a curated record. NCBI's taxonomy places the organism in Eukaryota, Metazoa, Chordata, Mammalia, Dasyuromorphia, Dasyuridae. The transcript has 3 exons.